UUCGUAGCUCAGUUGGCAGAGCAUCGCACUAGUAACGCGGAGGUCAUGGGUUCAAUAUUGCAAUUGCAAAA
Desmophyllum pertusum is the source of this 71-nucleotide non-coding RNA. The record is from the annotation of a GenBank genome assembly. Lineage: Eukaryota; Metazoa; Cnidaria; Anthozoa; Scleractinia; Caryophylliidae.